RNAcentral lists this ribosomal RNA (301 nucleotides) under uncultured bacterium. RNAcentral's name for it is "partial 16S ribosomal RNA". It matches the Rfam family "Bacterial small subunit ribosomal RNA", at positions 509 to 807 of the family's 1533-position model. The record is from RNAcentral.
CAGCCGCCACGGUAAUACGAAGGGGGCUAGCGUUGCUCGGAAUGACUGGGCGUAAAGGGCGCGUAGGCGGCGAUCAAAGUCAGGCGUGAAAUUCCUGGGCUCAACCUGGGGGCUGCGCUUGAUACUUGGUUGCUUGAGUGAGGAAGAGGGUCGUGGAAUUCCCAGUGUAGAGGUGAAAUUCGUAGAUACUGGGAAGAACACCGGUGGCGAAGGCGGCGACCUGGUCCUUUACUGACGCUGAGGCGCGAAAGCGUGGGGAGCAAACAGGAUUAGAUACCCCGGUAGUCCCUGUCUCUUAUAC